GACGAACGCUGGCGGCGUGCUUAACACAUGCAAGUCGAACGGAAAGGCCCUGCUUUUGUGGGGUGCUCGAGUGGCGAACGGGUGAGUAACACGUGAGUAACCUGCCCUUGACUUUGGGAUAACUUCAGGAAACUGGGGCUAAUACCGGAUAGGAGUUCCUGCUGCAUGGUGGGGGUUGGAAAGUUUCGGCGGUUGGGGAUGGACUCGCGGCUUAUCAGCUUGUUGGUGGGGUAGUGGCUUACCAAGGCUUUGACGGGUAGCCGGCCUGAGAGGGUGACCGGCCACAUUGGGACUGAGAUACGGCCCAGACUCCUACGGGAGGCAGCAGUGGGGAAUAUUGCACAAUGGGCGGAAGCCUGAUGCAGCAACGCCGCGUGCGGGAUGACGGCCUUCGGGUUGUAAACCGCUUUCGCCUGUGACGAAGCGUGAGUGACGGUAAUGGGUAAAGAAGCACCGGCUAAUUACGUG
Molecule: ribosomal RNA, 468 nt
Filed under: uncultured bacterium
Lineage: Bacteria
Description: partial 16S ribosomal RNA
Rfam family: Bacterial small subunit ribosomal RNA
Source: RNAcentral